UAAUUUGUGUUACAUUUUUAAAACAUGCAACAAAUAUUUUAUUAAGUGUACUAAAUCAGGUUAUUUUAAGCUAUAUAGUAACCAAAUAUCCCCAAAUCCCAGGAGCCUAAUAAAAUAAAAGUCUGUUUGUUGCUCAUAUCACACAAUUAUGCAAGUUACCCAGUUCUCCUGAGUGACUAUUUUAGUGCCUAGAUCCUAACAGAGAUCCAUAUUUUCUCACCUUGUGAUUCCAGGAUGCUGACUGGAAAGACUUUCUCAGAGUCUCUCUCUCAGAUUACUUACAUAUAGACACUCAGCAGAGAAGACAGAGAAGAUUGCAGGGAACAUUUUAUAGUUAGUCCAGGAAGUGAUAAAUAUAUUACCUUAGCCACAACCUUUGGACACAAGGCCCUAUUAUAAGACGCUUAGACCAUCUGCAAUGUCACUUCUUGGAAUGUGACACAGCUGUUUAACUGAACUGCUCUAUUCUCAGUACAAAGAAGUUGACGGAAGAAGAGAUAACUAGGUAAUAAACCUUGAAGACUGCUGCAAUCCUCACUGAGGGAAGGCUUCAGGAAGCAGGAACAGUUCCUCCGCUAACUCAGGCAUGGUUAGCAAAGCAGUUACUUCCCAGUUGUAUGUAUCACCCUCUCUGUUCUUCACAGCCUAGAAUAACCACAGACUAGCCAAAUAAAACUACAAUAAAUACCAGAUCUUCCUGUUUCCAUUUACAAUGGAGCAAGCUGUGUAAAAGCAUUGAAUAUAUAAUGCAAUUUAGGAGAAAAGGGGAGAAUCUUAUGAGGAUUUAAA
Molecule: non-coding RNA, 789 nt
Organism: Callithrix jacchus (white-tufted-ear marmoset)
Lineage: Eukaryota; Metazoa; Chordata; Mammalia; Primates; Cebidae
Source: RefSeq, a predicted model, not a curated record